AGUGAACGCUGGCGGCAUGCCUAAUACAUGCAAGUCGAACGACCGCACAAUAAGCUUUUUCUCCUACCGUUGGCGGGUGGCGGACGGGUAAGGCAUACAUCGCCUUCUUCUAUUUCUUGGGUGAUUUCGUAAAGCCACUUCUGCUACUACCUCAUAUGUUCUACCGCUUAAUGCAAUAGUUCUUCGCACUUUUCCUGUUUCUUUUAGCUGGUGUCGCAUUAGCUAGUUGGCAUGGUAAAGGCCCACCAAGGCGACGAUCCGUAGCUGAUCUGAGAGGAUGAUCGGCCACACUGGAACUGAGACACGGUCCAGACUCCUACGGGAGGCAGCAGUGGGGAAUAUUGGACAAUGGGCGAAAGCCUGACGGAGCCACACCGCGUGGGUGAUGAAGGCCUUCGGGUUGUAAAGCCCUGUUGUUGGGAAAGAAAAGAAGCAGAAUAAAACACGGAUGUUCUGACGGUACCCAAAGAGUAAGCAACGGCUAACUUCGUG
RNAcentral lists this ribosomal RNA (492 nucleotides) under uncultured bacterium. RNAcentral's name for it is "partial 16S ribosomal RNA". It matches the Rfam family "Bacterial small subunit ribosomal RNA", at positions 29 to 507 of the family's 1533-position model. The record is from RNAcentral.